UACGUAGGGACCAAGCGUUGUUCGGAUUUACUGGGCGUAAAGGGCGCGUAGGCGGCGUGGUAAGUCACUUGUGAAAUCUCUGAGCUUAACUCAGAACGGCCAAGUGAUACUGCUGUGCUAGAGUGCAGAAGGGGCAAUCGGAAUUCUUGGUGUAGCGGUGAAAUGCGUAGAUAUCAAGAGGAACACCUGAGGUGAAGACGGGUUGCUGGGCUGACACUGACGCUGAGGCGCGAAAGCCCAGGGGAGCAAACGGG
This 254-nucleotide ribosomal RNA is filed under the name uncultured bacterium. RNAcentral's name for it is "partial 16S ribosomal RNA". It matches the Rfam family "Bacterial small subunit ribosomal RNA", at positions 524 to 776 of the family's 1533-position model. The record is from RNAcentral.